Molecule: unclassified non-coding RNA, 371 nt
Filed under: soil metagenome
Description: partial contains 5.8S ribosomal RNA, internal transcribed spacer 2, and large subunit ribosomal RNA
Rfam family: 5.8S ribosomal RNA (bases 1-120)
Source: RNAcentral
GAUGAAGAACGCAGCGAAAUGCGAUAAGUAAUGAGAAUUGCAGAAUUCAGUGAAUCAUCGAAUCUUUGAACGCACAUUGCGCCCCCUGGAAUUCCGGGGGGCAUGCCUGUUCGAGCGUCUCAGGGACGAACCCUCGCGCGGGUGUACGCGCGGUCGUGGCUGCGGUGGCGUGCCCGAGGCGGCGGCCACCGCGCUGGAAUCCAUGGGCGGACGCCUGCCGCGUGGCCGAGCGUGAUAUGACGCAUUGGCGCUCGCACGCGGAGAGGCUGCCAGCCCUGGCCCGUCUGUCGGGCGGGGGAGAGCAAGACACGUGAACUCCUCGAAUCAGGUAGGGAUACCCGCUGAACUUAAGCAUAUCAAUAAGCGGAGGA